Molecule: ribosomal RNA, 957 nt
Filed under: uncultured Bacillota bacterium
Lineage: Bacteria; Bacillati; Bacillota
Description: bacterial SSU rRNA
Rfam family: Bacterial small subunit ribosomal RNA
Source: RNAcentral
UGGAUCCAGACUUUGAUCAUGGCUCAGGACGAACGCUGGCGGCGUGCCUAAUACAUGCAAGUCGAGCGAGCUUGCCUAGAUGAUUUUAGUGCUUGCACUAAAUGAAACUAGAUACAAGCGAGCGGCGGACGGGUGAGUAACACGUGGGUAACCUGCCCAAGAGACUGGGAUAACACCUGGAAACAGAUGCUAAUACCGGAUAACAACACUAGACGCAUGUCUAGAGUUUGAAAGAUGGUUCUGCUAUCACUCUUGGAUGGACCUGCGGUGCAUUAGCUAGUUGGUAAGGUAACGGCUUACCAAGGCAAUGAUGCAUAGCCGAGUUGAGAGACUGAUCGGCCACAUUGGGACUGAGACACGGCCCAAACUCCUACGGGAGGCAGCAGUAGGGAAUCUUCCACAAUGGACGAAAGUCUGAUGGAGCAACGCCGCGUGAGUGAAGAAGGGUUUCGGCUCGUAAAGCUCUGUUGGUAGUGAAGAAAGAUAGAGGUAGUAACUGGCCUUUAUUUGACGGUAAUUACUUAGAAAGUCACGGCUAACUACGUGCCAGCAGCCGCGGUAAUACGUAGGUGGCAAGCGUUGUCCGGAUUUAUUGGGCGUAAAGCGAGUGCAGGCGGUUCAAUAAGUCUGAUGUGAAAGCCUUCGGCUCAACCGGAGAAUUGCAUCAGAAACUGUUGAACUUGAGUGCAGAAGAGGAGAGUGGAACUCCAUGUGUAGCGGUGGAAUGCGUAGAUAUAUGGAAGAACACCAGUGGCGAAGGCGGCUCUCUGGUCUGCAACUGACGCUGAGGCUCGAAAGCAUGGGUAGCGAACAGGAUUAGAUACCCUGGUAGUCCAUGCCGUAAACGAUGAGUGCUAAGUGUUGGGAGGUUUCCGCCUCUCAGUGCUGCGGCUAACGCAUUAAGCACUCCGCCUGGGGAGUACGACCGUAAGGUUGCAACUCAAAGGAAUUGACGGA